GCCAGGUGCAGGGUUGCUCACCUGUAAUCCCAGUGGCUCAGGAGGCUGAGGCAGGAGGAUCACAAGAUUAAAGCCAGCCUCAGCAAUUUAGCAAGGCCCUAAGCAACUCCGUGAGAGCCUGUCUCUA
Molecule: small RNA, 127 nt
Filed under: Marmota monax (woodchuck)
Lineage: Eukaryota; Metazoa; Chordata; Mammalia; Rodentia; Sciuridae
Source: RNAcentral